Small nuclear RNA from Megalops cyprinoides (Indo-Pacific tarpon), 108 nucleotides. Lineage: Eukaryota; Metazoa; Chordata; Actinopteri; Elopiformes; Megalopidae. The record is from RefSeq and is a predicted model, not a curated record.
CUGCUCGCUACGACAGCACAUAUAGUAACAUUGGAAGGAUACAGAGAAGAUUAGCAUGGCCCCUGGCGCGAGGAUAACACGCAAAAUCGUGAAGCGUUCCAUGUUCUU